CAGGAUGGGUAAGACUCUGAAUGGCUUCAAUAUCACCAAUGCCUUCACGGACCUCUAGGGAAACUCAGCAUUCACUGUAAGAGGACAGCUAAAGCCACCUAAAAUUUAGGCAUGAGCAGGGCAUCCACACGGGAUGGAAUACAUCCACUCCAUAAUCUCCAGGCCACCCUUCACUUUCAGCAGAGAUCUCAGAAAGUAUAUCCAGAUGGUGAACUUGCUGGCUAGGAAGCCGUUGCUACAAUAUACUUUUGUCAGCCUUCCGGAGCCUGGAGCCCUGGAGCUCAUCUGCAUUAUGGUAAUUUGGAACAAGAAACCAACAGUAACAGUUGGCAUAUAUUCAAAGAUUUUCUAUUUGUAACUUGGGUCUUCUCUAAGUGAUGAAUUAUUACCAUGAACACUGGUUUGUUUGAGUGUGAAAGGGAAUAUGGAUUCCUGAGUGCUUUGCCAGCAGAGUUCACAUCAGUUCUACUUUCAGCAAUGCAUGUUAAUGCAGCAACAAGGGAAACAGCAUACGUACUGUGAGGAAACAGAAUGUCUGCGAUUUAGCCAAACUGGAUAUUAAUGGAUUACCCUACCAUAAGCAUUUGUAGCUGCUUUUAUGCUAAUUUUCACUUAGCAUACUUCUGUGUGGAAAGGAAGGAUGGAGCCUGUACAGAUGGUAGAACUGCAUCAGUCCAGCCUAUCAGAGUAGAAAAUCUGGCCAUUAAUGCUUUAUCAGUUCUUACCAACUUCAUUCUCACUUGACUGAAUCAUAGAAAUUUUACAAAUGAGUAUAGCUUAAGCACAGUUGAAUGUCCUAGAUACAGUACAGAUAGUAUUUUUGGAUAAGGGUAUGUAAAAGGUAUUGGAAUUUUGGUGAAUCACUCAACCAAAUUAAGAUUUGAUUUUGAUUUUUUUCAUGUAACCUGUCAAAUGCAUGCAGGUACCAUUGAGGGAGGCUGGCAUUUGCUGAACUGCUAAAUCUUCUCUAGUUUUGACUGCUUCUUAUGGGCAGAUAUGUGUGAACCUUUGUUUUUCUUAGCCUUUUUGGAACUAACAAAGAACAUGCUACCCAUCUUGCUAUGGGAUUGCUGUUAGCACGCUUUGUUUCAAAUGCUAAGCACCGUGUAUGUCUCCUGAAACAGAUGUGUGUCAGUGGGUCUAUGCAGAAAACACACAGUGGAAAUAAUCAGUCCACAGAUCCUUAGCCACAGAAUUGGGAGGUCUUUGCUAGUUUCUGCCUCAUCUCAUGAAACUUCUUACCCAACCUUUUUAGGUACAAGCAGAAGAUGUGUCCAGAUUUCUCUAAUUUCAAAAUAAGUUUCAAAUGAUUUUUUGUAGGAUUUCCCCUAUUGAAUAGUGGGUGGCCAGAAAAGGAAUUUUCUCCUCUUAGUUGGAAUUUUGGUGAAUCACUCAACCAGAUUAAGUUUCCCUUUCUGGGUAACAGGGAUAAAUUAUAUUUAUUGUGAUGGAAUAGUAUAAUUUCAGCCAUUAUGAGUUUUUAAAUGCUUUGACUUCCUUGUGGGGGAAGGAUGACAGCAAUGCAAAUGCUAUCCAUGAGAAAGACAAUGUUGGCAGCUGCAGUAAAGCCACUGCAGAUGACAGGCUCAAGAGCCACUCCAAAGAAGUCAGGGUGCAAUGGGAAAAAAAUAGCUAAUUGGGCCUCUGAAGAUGUGCACUUGGAUAACACAAUACAUUGACCAUUAGAGUUGUUUCUCACAGAGUAAUUUGCUAAUAUUUCCUGGCAGGAUCUGUGGACCCAUGGAGAGAGGAGCCCACACUGGAGGAGGUUUGCUGGCAGGACCUGUGACCCUGUGUGGGACCCAUGCGGGAGCAGCCUGCUCCUGAAGGACUGCACCCUGUGGAUGGGGACCCAUGCUGGAGCAGUUCAUGAGAAGCAAAGGCUGUGGGAAGGGCUCAUGAGAAGUUCAUGAAGGAUUGUCUCCUGUGGGAGGGGCCACACACCAGAGCAGCGAGGUGUCCCCUCCCUGAGGAGGGAGUGUCAGAGACAAGGUGCAAUUUGAUUUCCUGACUGCAGCCCCCAUUCCUUGGUCCGCUGCACUGCUGGUGAGGAGGAGGUAGAGAAUUUGGGAGUGAAGUUGAGCCAGGAUGAAGAGAUGGGUGAGGAGAAGGUGCUUUUAAGCACUUCACCUGGAAUUCUCAUGGAUACAGCUCUCAGAGGUAGUCAAACUCUCUCUGUGAUGUUAGAAAAUGUGUCUGAGCAUCCAACAGUGACCCUGACUUUUGCCACCAAUAAAGAAGAUAUUUCUGCA
This is a non-coding RNA of Taeniopygia guttata (zebra finch), 2252 nucleotides long. The record is from RefSeq and is a predicted model, not a curated record. NCBI's taxonomy places the organism in Eukaryota, Metazoa, Chordata, Aves, Passeriformes, Estrildidae.